AUUGAACGCUGGCGGCAGGCCUAACACAUGCAAGUCGAACGAGUGGCGGACGGGUGAGUAAUGUCUGGGAAACUGCCUGAUGGAGGGGGAUAACUACUGGAAACGGUAGCUAAUACCGCAUACCAUCAGAUGUGCCCAGAUGGGAUUAGCUAGUAGGUGGGGUAAUGGCUCACCUAGGCGACGAUCCCUAGCUGGUCUGAGAGGAUGACCAGCAACACGGGAACUGAGACACGGUCAAGACUCCUACGGGAGGCAGCAGUGGGGAAUAUUGCACAAGGGGCGCAAGCCGGAUACAGCCAUGCCGCGUGUAUGAAGAAGGCCUUCGGGUUGUAAAGGACUUUCAGCGAGGAGGCGUUACUCGCAGAAGAAGCACCGGCUAACUCCGUGCCAGCAGCCGCGGUAAUAC
RNAcentral lists this ribosomal RNA (406 nucleotides) under uncultured bacterium. RNAcentral's name for it is "partial 16S ribosomal RNA". It matches the Rfam family "Bacterial small subunit ribosomal RNA", at positions 30 to 526 of the family's 1533-position model. The record is from RNAcentral.